Molecule: unclassified non-coding RNA, 395 nt
Filed under: Neobacillus massiliamazoniensis
Lineage: Bacteria; Bacillati; Bacillota; Bacilli; Caryophanales; Bacillaceae
Description: Bacillus sp. LF1 cspA
Source: RNAcentral
UCCUUGCAAACACAUUCGAAAGAUGCUAUUCUUUAAAAUAAUUAUUUUUGUUCGGUGUAAAGGAUAGCAUAUGUAAAGCUUUUCGUCUUGAUAAUCACUGAGAGCAAGGAUAGUAUUACAUUGUGUGUAUUUACACACUAGGAGGCAACACAAAUGGAAAAAGGUAAAGUAAAAUGGUUCAACAGCGAAAAAGGCUUCGGAUUCAUCGAACGUGAAGGUGGAGACGAUGUAUUCGUUCAUUUCUCAGCGAUCCAAGGCGAAGGGUACAAAUCUCUUGAAGAAGGUCAAGCAGUGACUUUUGACGUAGAGCAAGGUCAACGUGGACCCCAAGCUUCAAACGUUCAUAAAGCUUAAUUAUAAGAACGAAUAUAGAAAGACUCUUUAGAGUCUUUUUU